UUGUCAUCUAUAGGCUUUUGGUUUUUUCAUAGGUUACAUGAGAUACCAAGUGCCGCCUUCUUGUAGGCUAUUCCCCCUCACCCCCAAUUCACAUAUUGAAGUCCUAACCCCCAAUACCUAAGAAUGUGACUGGAUUUGGAGAUAAGACUUUUAAAGAGACAGGUACAGAGAAAAGACCAUGUGAAGAUAUAGGGAGAAGAUGGCCAUCUACAAGCCAACGAGAGAGGCUUCGGGAGAAACCAACACUGCUGACACAUUGAUCUUGGACUUCUAGCCUCCAGAAAUGUGUCAGUGGCUCUAACCACCCACCCUACCUCCUGUGCCCUCCUGCCCCCAGCCCUGGUCCACAAACCUGGAGGAACUCCAAAACAAAGAGGCUUUCAACAUGUAGACCCAUCGACCUUCAAAUUCCAACCUGGA
This is a long non-coding RNA of Physeter macrocephalus (sperm whale), 420 nucleotides long. RefSeq lists it as uncharacterized. The transcript is spliced from 3 exons. The record is from RefSeq and is a predicted model, not a curated record. NCBI's taxonomy places the organism in Eukaryota, Metazoa, Chordata, Mammalia, Artiodactyla, Physeteridae.